This 253-nucleotide ribosomal RNA is filed under the name uncultured bacterium. RNAcentral's name for it is "partial 16S ribosomal RNA". It matches the Rfam family "Bacterial small subunit ribosomal RNA", at positions 524 to 776 of the family's 1533-position model. The record is from RNAcentral.
UACGUAGGUGGCAAGCGUUGUCCGGAAUUAUUGGGCGUAAAGCGCGCGCAGGCGGUCCUUUAAGUCUGAUGUGAAAGCCCACGGCUCAACCGUGGAGGGUCAUUGGAAACUGGGGGACUUGAGUGCAGGAGAGAAGAGUGGAAUUCCACGUGUAGCGGUGAAAUGCGUAGAUAUCGAGAGGAACACCUGCGGCGAAGGCGGGUUGCUGGGCUGACACUGACGCUGAUGCGCGAAAGCCAGGGGAGCGAACGGG